RNAcentral lists this transfer RNA (85 nucleotides) under Methanobacteriota archaeon. RNAcentral's name for it is "Euryarchaeota archaeon (soil metagenome) tRNA-Leu". It matches the Rfam family "tRNA". Rfam says of the family: Transfer RNA (tRNA) molecules are approximately 80 nucleotides in length. Their secondary structure includes four short double-helical elements and three loops (D, anti-codon, and T loops). The record is from RNAcentral. Lineage: Archaea; Methanobacteriati; Methanobacteriota.
GCGAGGGUGCCCCAGUCUGGCCAACGGGGCGGGACUUAGGAUCCCGUGGCGAAGGCCUUCGCAGGUUCGAAUCCUGCCCCUCGCA